This 253-nucleotide ribosomal RNA is filed under the name uncultured bacterium. Its description in RNAcentral is "partial 16S ribosomal RNA". It matches the Rfam family "Bacterial small subunit ribosomal RNA", at positions 524 to 776 of the family's 1533-position model. The record is from RNAcentral.
UACGUAGGGACCAAGCGUUGUUCGGAUUUACUGGGCGUAAAGGGCGCGUAGGCGGCGAAUCAAGUCAGCUGUGAAAUCUCCGAGCUUAACUCGGAACGGUCAGCUGAUACUGUUUUGCUAGAGUGCAGAAAGGGCAACCGGAAUUCCUGGUGUAGCAGUGAAAUGCGCAGAUAUCAGGAGGAACACCGAUUGCGAAGGCAGCUCGCUGGGACGUUACUGACGCUGAGACGCGAAAGCGUGGGGAGCAAACAGG